This 272-nucleotide ribosomal RNA is filed under the name uncultured Geobacillus sp. RNAcentral's name for it is "partial 16S ribosomal RNA". It matches the Rfam family "Bacterial small subunit ribosomal RNA", at positions 1111 to 1382 of the family's 1533-position model. The record is from RNAcentral. Lineage: Bacteria; Bacillati; Bacillota; Bacilli; Caryophanales; Anoxybacillaceae.
CUAGUUGCCAGCAUCGGUUGGGCACUCUAGAGGGACUGCCGGCGACAAGUCGGAGGAAGGUGGGGGAUGACGUCAAAUCAUCAUGCCCCUUAUGACCUGGGCUACACACGUGCUACAAUGGGCGGUACAAAGGGCUACGAACCCGCGAGGGGGAGCGAAUCCCAAAAAGCCGCUCUCAGUUCGGAUUGCAGGCUGCAACUCGCCUGCAUGAAGCCGGAAUCGCUAGUAAUCGCGGACCAGCAUGCCCGCGGUCGAAUACGUUCCCGGGCCUU